UACGUAGGGGGCAAGCGUUGUCCGGAAUUAUUGGGCGUAAAGCGCGCGCAGGCGGCUUUUUAAGUCUGGUGUAUAAGUGCGGGGCUCAACCCCGUGAGGCACUGGAAACUGGAGAGCUGGAGUGCAGAAGAGGAGAGCGGAAUUCCACGUGUAGCGGUGAAAUGCGUAGAGAUGUGGAGGAACAUCAGUGGCGAAGGCGGCUCUCUGGACUGUAACUGACGCUGAGGCGCGAAAGCGUGGGGAGCAAACAGG
This 252-nucleotide ribosomal RNA is filed under the name uncultured bacterium. Its description in RNAcentral is "partial 16S ribosomal RNA". It matches the Rfam family "Bacterial small subunit ribosomal RNA", at positions 524 to 776 of the family's 1533-position model. The record is from RNAcentral.